This 497-nucleotide ribosomal RNA is filed under the name uncultured bacterium. Its description in RNAcentral is "partial 16S ribosomal RNA". It matches the Rfam family "Bacterial small subunit ribosomal RNA", at positions 28 to 507 of the family's 1533-position model. The record is from RNAcentral.
GAUGAACGCUGGCGGCGUGCCUAAUACAUGCAAGUCGAGCGUAAGGACGAGAAGAUCUCUUUCUUGAUGUUAGCGGCGGACGGGCGAGUAACACGUGGAUAACCUACUUCUAAGUCUGGGAUAACUUCGGGAAACAGGAGCUAAUACUGGCUCAUAUCUUGAACCGCUUGGUGCAAAAGUGAAAGACGGUCUUGCUGAUACUUAUAGAUGGCUUCGCGCUACUUUAGCUAGUUGGUAAGGUAACGGCUUACCAAGGCAACGAUGCAUAUCCGACCUGAGAGGGUGAUCGCCCACCCUGGAACUGAGACACGGUCCAGACUCCUACGGGAGGCAGCAGUAGGGAAUUUUCGGCAAUGGGCGAAAGCCUGAUGGAGCAACGCCGCGUGAGUGAUGAAGGCCUUCGGACCGUAAAACUCUUUUAUUGGGGAAGAACAUAUGUUUAAGAAAAAGUCCACGUCUUGACGGUACCUAAUCAAUAAGCCACGGCUAACUUCGUG